UACGGGAGGCAGCAGUGGGGAAUCUUAGACAAUGGGCGCAAGCCUGAUCUAGCCAUGCCGCGUGAGUGAUGAAGGCCUUAGGGUCGUAAAGCUCUUUCGCCAGGGAUGAUAAUGACAGUACCUGGUAAAGAAACCCCGGCUAACUCCGUGCCAGCAGCCGCGGUAAUACGGAGGGGGUUAGCGUUGUUCGGAAUUACUGGGCGUAAAGCGUACGUAGGCGGAUUAGAAAGUUAGGGGUGAAAUCCCGGGGCUCAACCCCGGAACUGCCUCUAAAACUACUAGUCUAGAGUUCGAGAGAGGUGAGUGGAACUCCGAGUGUAGAGGUGAAAUUCGUAGAUAUUCGGAAGAACACCAGUGGCGAAGGCGGCUCACUGGCUCGAUACUGACGCUGAGGUACGAAAGUGUGGGGAGCAAACAGGAUUAGAUACCCUGGUAGUCCACACCGUAAACGAUGAAUGCCAGUCGUCGGGUAGUAUACUAUUCGGUGACACACCUAACGGAUUAAGCAUUCCGCCUGGGGAGUACGGUCGCAAGAUUAAAACUCAAAGGAAUUGACAUCU
This 560-nucleotide ribosomal RNA is filed under the name uncultured bacterium. Its description in RNAcentral is "bacterial SSU rRNA". It matches the Rfam family "Bacterial small subunit ribosomal RNA", at positions 340 to 918 of the family's 1533-position model. The record is from RNAcentral.